AUCGGCUCAAGCUUUUGCAGCUCACAGAGGACUUAAUCAAUCUCCGGCCGAGUGAACCUUAAUGCAAGUUCGGUGGUUGUUGUUGCAUCUCCUUUUCCGUAUCCAUUCUCUAUCAAACGUUUGGCUACUGCACGCUUCUUUCUCUUAUAUUCUGAUUGAGCCCAUAUGGGAACAUGACCUGUCUCGCUGUCAUCUUUUAUCUUCUGCACCUUCCUCAC
Molecule: long non-coding RNA, 218 nt
Filed under: Nicotiana benthamiana
Lineage: Eukaryota; Viridiplantae; Streptophyta; Magnoliopsida; Solanales; Solanaceae
Description: long non-coding RNA (NBEN_LNC020430)
Source: RNAcentral